UGGCUCAGUUGGUAGAGCAUGGUGUCUGCAACGCCAGGGUUGUGGGUUUGAUUCCCAC
Salmo salar (Atlantic salmon) is the source of this 58-nucleotide non-coding RNA. The record is from Rfam. Lineage: Eukaryota; Metazoa; Chordata; Actinopteri; Salmoniformes; Salmonidae.